GAAGAUUAAUACAAGAUGGCAUCAUGAGUCCGCAUGUUCACAUGAUUAAAGGUAUUCCGGUAGACGAUGGGGAUGCGUUCCAUUAGAUAGUAGGCGGGGUAACGGCCCACCUAGUCUUCGAUGGAUAGGGGUUCUGAGAGGAAGGUCCCCCACAUUGGAACUGAGACACGGUCCAAACUCCUACGGGAGGCAGCAGUGAGGAAUAUUGGUCAAUGGGCGCAGGCCUGAACCAGCCAAGUAGCGUGAAGGAUGACUGCCCUAUGGGUUGUAAACUUCUUUUAUAAAGGAAUAAAGUCGGGUAUGUAUACCCGUUUGCAUGUACUUUAUGAAUAAGGAUCGGCUAACUCCGUGCCAGCAGCCGCGGUAAUACGGAGGAUCCGAGCGUUAUCCGGAUUUAUUGGGUUUAAAGGGAGCGUAGAUGGAUGUUUAAGUCAGUUGUGAAAGUUUGCGGCUCAACCGUAAAAUUGCAGUUGAUACUGGAUAUCUUGAGUGCAGUUGAGGCAGGCGGAAUUCGUGGUGUAGCGGUGAAAUGCUUAGAUAUCACGAAGAACUCCGAUUGCGAAGGCAGCCUGCUAAGCUGCAACUGACAUUG
This 592-nucleotide ribosomal RNA is filed under the name uncultured Bacteroidales bacterium. RNAcentral's name for it is "bacterial SSU rRNA". It matches the Rfam family "Bacterial small subunit ribosomal RNA", at positions 158 to 748 of the family's 1533-position model. The record is from RNAcentral. Lineage: Bacteria; Pseudomonadati; Bacteroidota; Bacteroidia; Bacteroidales.